Molecule: non-coding RNA, 103 nt
Filed under: Chromera velia
Lineage: Eukaryota; Chromeraceae
Source: RNAcentral
UCUCGCGCACAAGAAGCGAUCGACUGAGUGGACACAGCAAGCAGCCAGGGAAGAAAGAAGAAAGGAACUACAGUUGGUUGGUUUGGCGAGACGGUAAAGCAUU